This is a long non-coding RNA of Choloepus didactylus (southern two-toed sloth), 555 nucleotides long. RefSeq lists it as uncharacterized. The record is from RefSeq and is a predicted model, not a curated record. NCBI's taxonomy places the organism in Eukaryota, Metazoa, Chordata, Mammalia, Pilosa, Megalonychidae. The transcript is spliced from 3 exons.
AUCUCAGCCUGCCCUGGGGCCUACGAAGGAGGGCGAGGUGCCUUCAGCAGCAGAGGAGGCUCUUCGUAAUUUUCUAGACACCAGCCUUGGAGAAUGCUUUUGCCUGGAGGGUCUGUCAUGCCCUAGGGAUCCAGCAGGGCCACUCAUUAGUUAGCUGAUGGAGGAUUUCAGGAUUUAGGAUCUUGGUUAUCUCAUCUUUGAAGACUUGGCCAACACCUGGAAUAGCAUGGAAGAGGAAAUCGAGGAGGCCAACUUCCCUGUGAAAGCGGUACCCUCCCAGUGAGAAAAAAGCCAUUUGAUUUCUGCUGAUUUCUGCCUCCCUGAACUUUCCCAGCAUUGCCUGCGAAGGAUAUGAGGGAUAUCACCAAAUGGUCUGAUAAGCAGUAACUUCUCAUUGAAAAACAAGCCUGAAUGAGGAGAGAACUUCAAGAUAAUGGAAGAUUCUGACCCAACAGCUUUCUCUCUUCUAUUGUUUUUCCCCCAUUCUGCUUUCUUUUGGAUUCUGACCAUUUCUUUGUCUAUUUCAUUCUGAACUGGUCUUGGAAAGUUUUUUUU